RNAcentral lists this ribosomal RNA (474 nucleotides) under uncultured bacterium. RNAcentral describes it as "SSU rRNA". It matches the Rfam family "Bacterial small subunit ribosomal RNA", at positions 26 to 518 of the family's 1533-position model. The record is from RNAcentral.
AGGACGAACGCUGGCGGCGUGCUUAACACAUGCAAGUCGAGCGGAAAGGCCCUUCGGGGUACUCGAGCGGCGAACGGGUGAGUAACACGUGAGCAACCUGCCCUUAGCUCUGGGAUAGCUCCGGGAAACCGGAAUUAAUACCGGAUACGACCUAGGCCGACAUCGGCCAUGGUGGAAAGUUUUUCGGCUAGGGAUGGACUCGCGGCCUAUCAGCUAGUUGGUGGGGUAAGGGCCUACCAAGGCGACGACGGGUAGCCGGCCUGAGAGGGCGACCGGCCACACUGGGACUGAGACACGGCCCAGACUCCUACGGGAGGCAGCAGUGGGGAAUCUUGCGCAAUGGGCGAAAGCCUGACGCAGCGACGCCGCGUGGGGGAUGAAGGCCUUCGGGUUGUAAACCCCUUUCAGCAGGGACGAAGCGAAAGUGACGGUACCUGCAGAAGAAGCGCCGGCUAACUACGUGCCAGCAGCCGC